AAUUAUUUUGUUUUUUUUUUCAGUAGUUUUCUAUAAGUACUUAUUGUUUGUGAUGAAUAAUCAUGGUUCGACAGUGUAUUCUUAAUUACUGCAAAAGUUCAACAAGAACUACGCAAGACCGUAAAUACCUUAUACCAUCGCGUAGGUAUA
Molecule: long non-coding RNA, 150 nt
Organism: Polistes dominula (European paper wasp)
Lineage: Eukaryota; Metazoa; Arthropoda; Insecta; Hymenoptera; Vespidae
Source: RefSeq, a predicted model, not a curated record